Non-coding RNA from Mycena leptocephala, 93 nucleotides. Lineage: Eukaryota; Fungi; Basidiomycota; Agaricomycetes; Agaricales; Mycenaceae. The record is from the annotation of a GenBank genome assembly.
GUUCACAUGGUGUAGUGGUAACACAUCCUUUCAUUAUGGUUUGGGGCGCUCUAUCUACAAGGGAUGUCGCGGGUUCAACUCCCGCUGUGGACA